AAUGAUCUUUACUCCUCACCAUCCCAUUUUACAGAUGAAGUAAAUCAUUUUACAGAGAUCCCGCCCAAGGUCACACAGCUGAUCGAUGGUGGAGCUGGGAAUUGAAAGCAGUUGUGUCAGACUCUGGAUCGCUUUCUAUUACAUCGGGCUAUCACAGAAGAGAAGCAGAGAAGUAAAAACGGAGGAUAGGCCACCGUGAAGUUGUGAUGUCAUCUUUCAAAAAGCUUGGAUGUGAAGAAAAGGGGCAGGAGUGGCCACAGGCGUGCACCCUGGCGCCUUCAGCUGAGGUGGUACAUCCUCCGUUUACCCCAUUUUUGGGGUGCGUGUGGAGUGAUGGAAGUUGUAAGACCCUGCAGAGGGAAUACAAGUGAAAUAGGGUCCUGAACUCUGCCUGAAGGAUACUGUGAUCUACCCGCAAGAUUCA
Long non-coding RNA from Manis pentadactyla (Chinese pangolin), 424 nucleotides. RefSeq lists it as uncharacterized. The transcript has 3 exons. NCBI's taxonomy places the organism in Eukaryota, Metazoa, Chordata, Mammalia, Pholidota, Manidae. The record is from RefSeq and is a predicted model, not a curated record.